GGCGGCGAGUGGCGACGGGUGAGUAAUACAUCGGAACGUGCCCAAUCGUGGGGGAUAACGCAGCGAAAGCUGUGCUAAUACCGCAUACGAUCUACGGAUGAAAGCAGGGGAUCGCAAGACCUUGCGCGAAUGGAGCGGCCGAUGGCAGAUUAGGUAGUUGGUGAGGUAAAGGCUCACCAAGCCUUCGAUCUGUAGCUGGUCUGAGAGGACGACCAGCCACACUGGGACUGAGACACGGCCCAGACUCCUACGGGAGGCAGCAGUGGGGAAUUUUGGACAAUGGGCGAAAGCCUGAUCCAGCCAUGCCGCGUGCAGGAUGAAGGCCUUCGGGUUGUAAACUGCUUUUGUACGGAACGAAACGGCCUUUUCUAAUAAAGAGGGCUAAUGACGGUACCGUAAGAAUAAGCACCGGCUAACUACGUGCCAGCAGCCGCGGUAAUACGUAGGGUGCAAGCGUUAAUCGGAAUUACUGGGCGUAAAGCGUGCGCAGGCGGUUAUGUAAGACAGUUGU
This 511-nucleotide ribosomal RNA is filed under the name Variovorax sp. EECC-96. RNAcentral's name for it is "bacterial SSU rRNA". It matches the Rfam family "Bacterial small subunit ribosomal RNA", at positions 87 to 595 of the family's 1533-position model. The record is from RNAcentral. Lineage: Bacteria; Pseudomonadati; Pseudomonadota; Betaproteobacteria; Burkholderiales; Comamonadaceae.